CCUUCGAUAGCUCAGUUGGUAGAGCGGUGGACUGUAGAAGGAGAGGAGAAUGUGAAGGAAGAGCACUCCAAAGAAACAAUAGAAAUCCAUAGGUCACUGGUUCAAAUCCGGUUCGAAGGA
Molecule: transfer RNA, 120 nt
Organism: Anopheles sinensis
Lineage: Eukaryota; Metazoa; Arthropoda; Insecta; Diptera; Culicidae
Rfam family: tRNA
About the family: Transfer RNA (tRNA) molecules are approximately 80 nucleotides in length.
Source: Rfam